Molecule: long non-coding RNA, 1552 nt
Organism: Oncorhynchus keta (chum salmon)
Lineage: Eukaryota; Metazoa; Chordata; Actinopteri; Salmoniformes; Salmonidae
Exons: 3
Source: RefSeq, a predicted model, not a curated record
GUUUAUCCUGCACUUCAGUAAUUCCAGAGAUGACAGUCAAAGCUAAACAGCCAGAAAACAUUUGUACAUCUUCAUCUACACAACAUUGUCCCCACAACAUCCACACAAUAUUAUACACACAACAUCUACACAACAUUAUACACAAAAGGUUGUACAACCUUAUCCAUACAACAUUAUACAACAACAAGCACGCCAUUAACCACACAAUAUUUACACAACAUUAAACAUAAAAACGGUACACAAAGUUAUCCACACAACAUUUUCCUAACAACGUUUGCACAACAUUCACCACAUCUGCUGAUUUCCCGAAUACUGUCUAACGUUAGAGACAGGAAUCAGCAGGUGAUGGCCACCAUCUAACGUUAGAGACAGGAAUCAGCAGGUGACGGCCACCAUCUAACGUUAGAGACAGGAAUCAGCAGGUGAUGGCCACCAUCUAAUGUUAGAGACAGGAAUCAGCAGGUGAUGGCCACCAUCUAAUGUUAGAGACAGGAAUCAGCAGGUGAUGGCCACCAUCUAAUGUUAGAGACAGGAAUCAGCAGGUGAUGGCCACCAUCUAAUGUUAGAGACAGGAAUCAGCAGGUGAUGGCCACCAUCUAAUGCUAGAGACAGGAAUCAGCAGGUGAUGGCCACCAUCUAAUGUUAGAGACAGGAAUCAGCAGGUGAUGGCCACCAUCUAAUGCUAGAGACAGGAAUCAGCAGGUGAUGGCCACCAUCUAAUGUUAGAGACAGGAAUCAGCAGGUGAUGGCCACCAUCUAAUGCUAGAGACAGGAAUCAGCAGGUGAUGGCCACCAUCUAAUGUUAGAGACAGGAAUCAGCAGGUGAUGGCCACCAUCUAAUGUUAGAGACAGGAAUCAGCAGGUGAUGGCCACCAUCUAAUGCUAGAGACAGGAAUCAGCAGGUGAUGGCCACCAUCUAAUGUUAGAGACAGGAAUCAGCAGGUGAUGGCCACCAUCUAAUGCUAGAGACAGGAAUCAGCAGGUGAUGGCCACCAUCUAAUGUUAGAGACAGGAAUCAGCAGGUGAUGGCCACCAUCUAAUGUUAGAGACAGGAAUCAGCAGGUGAUGGCCACCAUCUAAUGUUAGAGACAGGAAUCAGCAGGUGAUGUUUACUGUUUAUGAAUGCUCACCAGGACAAGUCUCUUAGAGGGAUUUAUUAAGUUACACUGAGUGGAUGAGCUUCAUAUUGUUCUCUGUGUUUUAUGCACCAUUAAAUGCAUUAUCUCUAAUUGUCUUUAAUUCAAUCUAAUAGGGCAUUCAUGCAUUAUUGAGAGAGUGUUAUUAGUGAUUUAUUGUCAUUUCAUUUGUGAGUUAUACAUAUUUUCACUAAUGUGAAUUAAAGAGAUUUUCCUUUUGAAUAAGUAUUCAUUUUUAAUCAAUGAAUGAAGUAUUACUUUUUGUUAACAUAAAUAGUAGCGUAUGUGGGAGAUGAAUAUGUAAAUCAAUUGUAGUAAUUUAGAAAUACGAAUUUGCAGAAUUAGAUUUAGAAAAACAGUUACCGAUAUAUAAAAGCAGUGCAUUUGGGAGAGGAUACAUACAUGAACUAACUGAC